UACGUAGGUGGCAAGCGUUGUCCGGAUUUACUGGGCGUAAAGAGCGCGCAGGCGGUCGUUCAAGUCGCGUGUGAAAGCCCCCGGCUCAACUGGGGAGGGUCACGCGAUACUGAUCGACUCGAAGGCAGGAGAGGGAAGUGGAAUUCCCGGUGUAGUGGUGAAAUGCGCAGAUAUCAGGAGGAACACCAAUGGCGAAGGCAGCACUCUGGGACGUGACUGACGCUGAGACGCGAAAGCGUGGGGAGCAAACAGG
This 253-nucleotide ribosomal RNA is filed under the name uncultured bacterium. Its description in RNAcentral is "partial 16S ribosomal RNA". It matches the Rfam family "Bacterial small subunit ribosomal RNA", at positions 524 to 776 of the family's 1533-position model. The record is from RNAcentral.